UAUUUUCCUUGCCUUACCUAGCCACAGGUCAAUGACGCGCCAAAUACAUACGUCAUCCGCCAGACACUCCCCGAAGCCAGCGAGGAUGGCUGCGCGCGCGUUUGAGCGCUCGCGCGUGGCGACCCGUCUGUCUCCUUCUUUUUUUUUCUUUUUUAACUGUAACCUGGUUUGUUGGGCUCUCGGCGUAUCCUUGCGUUCCUUCUGCACUGGGACAAGACACCACUGCACUAUUGGAAUACGGCAAGCUGGUGCCGUCUGGUGGAGCUUCAUACAGGAACUACUGCCUUACCUGCUGGUGUCACAACGUUGGAUGAACGCACAAAAAGCGCGGAACGAGCUUUUAUAUAGAGCAAAAUAAAUAUUUCCUCAUUGCACAAAA
Molecule: long non-coding RNA, 379 nt
Organism: Dermacentor silvarum
Lineage: Eukaryota; Metazoa; Arthropoda; Arachnida; Ixodida; Ixodidae
Exons: 2
Source: RefSeq, a predicted model, not a curated record